UGGGGAAUAUUGCACAAUGGGCGCAAGCCUGAUGCAGCCAUGCCGCGUGUGUGAAGAAGGCCUUCGGGUUGUAAAGCACUUUCAGCGAGGAGGAAGGUGGUGAACUUAAUACGUUCAUCAAUUGACGUUACUCGCAGAAGAAGCACCGGCUAACUCCGUGCCAGCAGCCGCGGUAAUACGGAGGGUGCAAGCGUUAAUCGGAAUUACUGGGCGUAAAGCGCACGCAGGCGGUUUGUUAAGUCAGAUGUGAAAUCCCCGGGCUCAACCUGGGAACUGCAUUUGAAACUGGCAAGCUAGAGUCUCGUAGAGGGGGGUAGAAUUCCAGGUGUAGCGGUGAAAUGCGUAGAGAUCUGGAGGAAUACCGGUGGCGAAGGCGGCCCCCUGGACGAAGACUGACGCUCAGGUGCGAAAGCGUGGGGAGCAAAACAGGAUUAGAUACCCUGGUAGUCCACGCUGUAAAACGAUGUCGAUUUGGAGGUUGUGCCCUUGAGGCGUGGCUUCNNGNUGCAUACGCGUUAAAUCGACCGCCUGGGGAGUACGGCCGCAAGGUUAAAACUCAAAUGAAUUGACGGG
Molecule: ribosomal RNA, 573 nt
Filed under: uncultured bacterium
Lineage: Bacteria
Description: partial 16S ribosomal RNA
Rfam family: Bacterial small subunit ribosomal RNA
Source: RNAcentral